CCGGCGACGGGGGUAACCAAGGCGGGUUGUCGCGCGAGAUCGGACGCCCGGGCCCCGUUUGAAAAGAUGGACGGUUGAAGUCUGUCACCCCGAAAGGAGUGCCUUCCCCUCCCCCGGCGAUUGCACACAAACUGCCGAAACUAUGUUCUAAUUACAAAUCAAACAGGAUAAUCCUUGCGAAGUCUAGGUGACGGUGUUGACUGGAUCACUGACCAGUAAAGGGCAUUGCUGCACCUUUAACAACACCACAUGACUCAACCAGCUCCAUCACGGGCACAACCCUCCCUACCAUCGGGGACAUCUUCAAGAAGUGGUGUCGCAAGAAGGUGGCAUCCAUCACUAGGAACCCUCACCAUCCAGGACAUGCCUUCCGCACAUUACUGUCAUCGGGGAGGAGUGAACAAAUACAUCUACGUACGUGUGCAGACUCAAGAGAACGCAGAUGCUGGAAUCUGGAGUAACACACAAAAAGCUGGAGGAACAGCAGAUGCUGCUUGACCUGCUGAGUUCCUCCAGCAGAUAGUUUGUUGCUCCAGAUUCCAGCAUCUGCAGUCCCUUGUGUCUCUAAUAAAGCUAAGUAUCCC
This is a long non-coding RNA of Pristis pectinata (smalltooth sawfish), 584 nucleotides long. RefSeq lists it as uncharacterized. Lineage: Eukaryota; Metazoa; Chordata; Chondrichthyes; Rhinopristiformes; Pristidae. The transcript is spliced from 5 exons. The record is from RefSeq and is a predicted model, not a curated record.